UACGUAGGGUGCGAGCGUUGUCCGGAAUUACUGGGCGUAAAGAGCUCGUAGGUGGUUUGUCGCGUUGUCCGUGAAAACUCACAACUCAAUUGUGGGCGUGCGGGCGAUACGGGCAUCACUGGAGUUCGGCAGGGGAGACUGGAAUUCCUGGUGUGCGGUGAAAUGCGCAGAUAUCAGGAGGAACACCGGUGGCGAAGGCGGCCUCCUGGG
Molecule: ribosomal RNA, 210 nt
Filed under: uncultured bacterium
Lineage: Bacteria
Description: partial 16S ribosomal RNA
Rfam family: Bacterial small subunit ribosomal RNA
Source: RNAcentral